This 253-nucleotide ribosomal RNA is filed under the name uncultured bacterium. RNAcentral describes it as "partial 16S ribosomal RNA". It matches the Rfam family "Bacterial small subunit ribosomal RNA", at positions 524 to 776 of the family's 1533-position model. The record is from RNAcentral.
GACGGAGGAUGCAAGCGUUAUCCGGAAUGAUUGGGCGUAAAGCGUCCGCAGGUGGCAGUUCAAGUCUGCUGUCAAAGACCGGGGCUUAACUUCGGAAAGGCAGUGGAAACUGAACAGCUAGAGUAUGGUAGGGGCAGAGGGAAUUCCUGGUGUAGCGGUGAAAUGCGUAGAGAUCAGGAAGAACAUCGGUGGCGAAGGCGCUCUGCUGGACCAUAACUGACACUCAGGGAUGAAAGCUAGGGGAGCGAAUGGG